GGGUGAGGGGUUGGGGCGGGGGGACUCCCAAUGUGCGGAUAGUUAGGCGCACUUAGGGCCACGAGUUGCUAGGAAACGGCCCCACGCUAUGGAGCGCCUCGCCUCGGCAGCCGCAGCAACAGCAAAAGCUCGGAGUAGCGUGGGCGGGACAUUGAUGAGGCAUGAAGUCACUGCGGCCCACACUCGUUCUUUGUUUUGCUCACUCCAGCUCCUUUUCUCCCCGUUGGCUCCGAUGGUUGCCAUUCCCGUAGUUCACAAGAUCUCCUGAUGCGUACCCGCGCAACAGGAAUGGCACUCUCUGUUCCCUUUCCCUCUCCUGCCCGAAUUCCUGAACCCCAGCGCUCGCCUAGCGGGUGUAGAGACUCGCUCAGCACGAGUGGUAGCUGCGCGCAAACCCCAGCCUCUCACCGGGCUCCACGCAGUCCUUUGUUUGGAGAUACUCACUGCUCGGCAGCUGCCGUACGCAAAGUGGAGUCCCAGAGCCUCUCCCCACCUCCAACACCCGCUGUCCCUCGGGUGCGCACUGCCCACUUUGCUUGCAGAGUUAGGAGCUCACCCUUUGCCCCACCCCAAGACUCCCCAGCACUUGGAGAGUUGGGCCAGUCCACAGGGGCUGUACUCGGAACUGCAGGCCGAUAUUUCUCUCGGCUCCUCCACUCGGAGGGAACAUCGACCUUGGGCUGGACAGCCCUGCUCUUUGCAGGGUUAUCGGAGUGGGUUUUUUGACCUUAGUCGUCACCUUCCCAAUAAACGGAACAAAGAAGUUACAGAGGGCGGCGAAACGGAAGAGAGAAGCUAGGAAAGGAGGCACCCUGUUUCACUCCCUCCAGCCAGGCAUUCUGGGGAAUGAAACUUCUCAACUAAGGACUGACCUGAUGGAAAGCGAUGGAUAAAGACCCUGCCUAGCUCUUGCUCCUUGUAUGGAACCCCUUUGGGCCUUGUGUCCUUCGCUAGGGCUUCUCAAACUAUUGUUAGACCAGUUUUUUAUUUCAAUCCAUCAUGGAUUGGUACUUUAAAACUGAGUUAUUAAGAAAAAUAGUGUCAUAAAAGUGCUGAAUUUUUAUAAAAGUUUCUCAAUACUUACUUUAACUUUUUACACCUUCUUUAUACUGAACCAGUCUCAAACAGUUCAAGGACAGGUGCUAACGCACACCACACUCUGAGCAAUACUGAGCACUUCUGCCUCAGGUUCCCUAAAGGAGUAAGUACAGUUGCCCACAGUGGUAACUGUAUUCAAACACAUCCUCCCCUGGCCGCCUUCCCCUCCCUCAUUUCCCAACUGCUUCCUGGUAUUUCCUUGUCCCAGUGUCCUCUUCUGGAGGAACCUAAACUAAAACAAGUAAUGAUGAGCCCCGAAAGUACUCUCUUGGUGUCCUCCAUGUGUGAAUUCAAAUUUUAUUCUUGUCUAGAUAUAAGGCAACCCUCAGAAUAAAAAAGCACUAA
This is a long non-coding RNA of Phyllostomus discolor (pale spear-nosed bat), 1443 nucleotides long. RefSeq lists it as uncharacterized. The record is from RefSeq and is a predicted model, not a curated record. The transcript is spliced from 2 exons. NCBI's taxonomy places the organism in Eukaryota, Metazoa, Chordata, Mammalia, Chiroptera, Phyllostomidae.